AGUCGAGGGGUAUGGUAGCAUACCAGAGACCGGCGCACGGGUGCGUAACGCGUAUGCAAUCUACCUUUUACAGAGGGAUAGCCCAGAGAAAUUUGGAUUAAUACCUCAUAGUAUUACGACCCGGCAUCGGGAUGUAAUUAAAGUCACAACGGUAAAAGAUGAGCAUGCGUCCCAUUAGCUAGAUGGUAAGGUAACGGCUUACCAUGGCAACGAUGGGUAGGGGUCCUGAGAGGGAGAUCCCCCACACUGGUACUGAGACACGGACCAGACUCCUACGGGAGGCAGCAGUGAGGAAUAUUGGACAAUGGGCGCAAGCCUGAUCCAGCCAUGCCGCGUGCAGGAUGACGGUCCUAUGGAUUGUAAACUGCUUUUGCACAGGAAGAAACAACGCUACGUGUAGCGUCUUGACGGUACUGUGAGAAUAAGGAUCGGCUAACUCCGUGCCAGCAGCCGCGGUAAUACGGAGGAUCCAAGCGUUAUCCGGAAUCAUUGGGUUUAAAGGGUCCGUAGGCGGUUUGGUAAGUCAGUGGUGAAA
Molecule: ribosomal RNA, 535 nt
Filed under: uncultured Bacteroidota bacterium
Lineage: Bacteria; Pseudomonadati; Bacteroidota
Description: bacterial SSU rRNA
Rfam family: Bacterial small subunit ribosomal RNA
Source: RNAcentral